AAUUGUCCCAAAUAUCUCCUUCAUAUUGAACGAGACUGCAGCUGGAUGCUUUGUUCAGGAUCGAUCCUGUGGCGAAAGGCAUUCAGCGUCUCGCAGAUCAAGGCAGAGAGAAAGGGGGAAAACAUUUUGUCAAUACCUUAAUAAUUGAGCUAGAGAAUGACAAGAUGGACAAGAUGCCGCUCUAUUCUGUAGGAAAAAACACUUUGAGAAACCACCAUCUCGGGAAAUUCAGCGCCGACUACCCAGGAGUUCCUGCCGUCUACAUGCAUCAGAAGUUGUUUUGUUAAUCGAAAUAAAGGGCGGAUAGCAUGAUCCAAGGCACGGAGCGGCUCACCAUUUCCUCGCAUUACAUGACGGCCUUACCAGCGAGGAGGAAUAUGCAUGAAUACAUUAAAAGGUAAUGAAGAAGCUGUCAGGAGAGGGUCGUUCAGGGCAGAGCUUCAGAGCAUUACGUGAUGGACUUGUCAGCUCGGCACGAGAAGCAAAGAGGGGUGGAGUUCAACAGCGUGGACAACAGCAUCUCACUGUUCAAUGUUUUGUAUUUUCACUGCUAAAUUAAACAAUAUGAAAUAUGAA
Pimephales promelas (fathead minnow) is the source of this 576-nucleotide long non-coding RNA. RefSeq lists it as uncharacterized. The record is from RefSeq and is a predicted model, not a curated record. Lineage: Eukaryota; Metazoa; Chordata; Actinopteri; Cypriniformes; Leuciscidae.